AGCCGACCGCGGCCCCCGCUUCCGGGCGCCCGCGCGACCCGCGUUCUUCUCUUUCUCUCUUUUCUUUCCUCCUCCUGCUGCCUCUUCCCUCCCUGCGUCUUCUCUGGCACGGUGGGUCCUGUGCCCGUUGAGCUGUGUUCUUUUGCUUCCAUCACACCUGCCUUCACGGCCUCCGUUCCCCGUCUCAAAAUCUGACAAGCCACUCCCCUCCCUAUUCCUAGGGGACCCUCGCCUCCCUGCCCGGUGCGCUACCACACCCCAUCAUACCCAACCAACUUGCUUCCCCACCUGGCUUCUCACCCCCUACCCGUCUCCACUGCAGCCUUCUGCUCUUCCUUCCCACCCGUCCGGUGCCGCCUCGUCGCCCUCGCCUGAGCGUCUCCCAUCCCCAUUGUUUCUUCAUCAGCCUCCUUCGGGUUUCAGUAAACGCCUGGUUCCUUGCACCCAGAUCCCUGUUAUCCCUCAGGGCUGCCUCCCUUGAAGUGAUCCCCCACUUCCUUUGCUCCACUAGCUGCUUCCCCCAUCCCUUCCUGGCUUUCUGUUCCACCUUCCCUCCCCGUUUGGGUUACCUCAAUCAUCGCCUCUCUAGUAGCUUCAGUGUAGUUUCUUCGACUCAUUUUAUUUUAAAUACCAUACCCAGUUACCCGACUUUUAUUUCAGAUUACCUUCUUUGUGGGAGUGAAUGUAAAAGGAUUCAAUUUGGUGUAGGGAAAGCUUUCUGGAAAGUUGGGAUUUUUAUUUGCCUCUGGUGGAAUUUAAUCAUUGUGUUGUCCAUACUUUUGACUGGGGUGAGUUUGUGACUGUCAGCUCUGCCCCCCAGCUUUUCAAAUGGGGAUAUGGAAAAAGGCUUUUUGCUGAUACUCUUAUCAGUUCCCGGAACUGUUAACUCGGGCAGCUUGAAUUCAGAAGCUUGAGUGUUAAGCGUAGACUGUUGGAAUUCCAAAUGGAUUAAUAAAUUUACUUACAAAUAACAUACAUCCCUUAAAAAACAUUGGCAAAAUGAUGUUUGAUGAUGCUUGAGUUUGGAUACGUUUUAAUUAUGCCAGUUACCUUUUGAGGAACUAACUUCUCUUACACGACAUAGUAUUCGCCCAUUCGCUAACGUAGAUACAAUUAGUAGAGCUAACUCCUCGUAACUUUUUUCUAACCUGGAAGUCACCUGUAAUAUCAUCCUUUUUCUUUGCGCUCUUUUACCCCAGGGUACAAAGCUCAUUGGAUCACUCAAGCCAAUGGAGCUUAGACCUGAAACUUUUCAGGGAAAAAUAGGGAAAUAGUCACGAUAAGUGAGUUCCCUUUUAAAUGACUGGACACAUUAGUCUGACUGACUUUCAUCAUACAUGAAAGUUACUUUGCUUUACUGUUUGAAGCAAGAGUGAGCAUGCCCUGAAAGAUAAUUCACUGUCUGGAAGCCUGUUUUGAUUUCUCACUUGGACUUUGGCCGUAAAGUUUGCACUUUAAAAAAAAUGUACGAAAUGUAAAUUCUUCCAAGUUACUGUGCUCUUGAAUGCUGUUAGAACAAGUUUUUGCUACACAGAAGGCUAUUAUUCUUUGUGAUUGUUCCCCCACUGUGGAAAAAAGUUUUAAAUAAAAAGCAUUAGUGCUUGGUUCUUUCAGAUAUGCAUGCAGGCUGCUUUUAAACUCUCAGUCCUUGCUUGUCUUAGAGAAUGGAGAAUAUAUUUAAAUGGUGACACUCUUAUGAACAGAAAACUUUUUAAAAUGCAUCGUAAAGCCAUAUGUGAUUUUUUGAUUAUCUGAUACGUGUAGUAGACGUUUCUACUAUUUACGGCUCUUCAAAUGACUACUUGGUUUGCCCUACCAAAUCUUACAGUUUGCCCUGACACUGUGUUAAUUCUUUUGUUAGUUGUUUUCGGGUUUUUUUUUUUUUUUUUUUUUUUGGUAUGGGAGUAUGAAGAAACUACUGUGACUGUGUGAACUGUUUUCCUCUUUCCUCAUUCAAAAUAAGAAUCAAUAAGGCUUUUAAAAGUUUUUUUUUUUUUAUAAAGGUUUGUGUCUUAUUUCAAAUGUAGCAGUGGUUCUUUUAAAGCAUUGCCAAAAAGAGGAGAAAAUAGGUAGGGUUAGAAGAGUGCUAUUUGCAUGUGGUUUCAUAAAUGUUAUUAGCUAUUUCUCUUGUUAUAGCCAUUACUGCAGAUGCUAACUGGGAUUAGGUUUGGAGGAUAAUCUUGCAUUUGUCGUUCUUUUUCUCUACUACUUCUGUUUUUACACGUUCCCACCUUUUUGGAACUUGAAUAUACCUGGUAGUAUUUGAUUUAAAAAUAUAUGUGUAGUUAAUGGGCUUCUGUUUCUUUUCAAUGAGGUUUUAAAAUACAGGGAUACUAUCUUCCGUACAUUGUUGAUUAAAAUGUCCUGUAAUCAGUUCUCACUAAUAAAAUACCUUUAUCUUAGGUAAAGUCUGACCAGUCAGUGGUUUACUAAACAAAUACCUUCCUUGCACACACUAACAUGCUUUGAGAAAAUUAAGAAGUCUUCUACAGACAGUUCAUGGUGUUGACAUCAUGAACUUUAGGCUUUAAUACAGAAACCUGUCAUUUCAAGUAAUUUUUUGUCUUUUAGGAAUUUUUCUUUAUAGUGAAAGCUUAGUUUAUGUGCACCUUUUAAUGCCUCUAGCAACUGAUGCUUAUUUACAUGAAUCUAAUGAAAAUGCUUUCAUUUUAAAAUGGCAGCAUUUAACAAAAAAUAUGCUUAGGAUUGUUGUUUUUCCUAUAAGCCCUUAGAGUGUGGAGGUGGUUUCUGUGCAGUUUCUCGCCAAGAUCUUUCCAUAUUAGGAAGUGAUUAUUAAUAAUCCAUGAAUUAUGGCUUAAUUCAUACUACAUUAUAUACUUACUGAAGAAAGAUCUUUUUGCUUUGCUUAUACUGUAGGUGUUAGUGGAUAAUAGUGUUGAGUAGCAUCCCUAGUGUGAAAGAGUUGUCAAACUUGAAAUAUGUUUGUAAAAAUAAACACGAUUUCCAUUUAAUUUUAGGCCUUUAGUAGCCAUAAUCAAGGUAGAGGAAUAGCAGCCCUUAUAUUUGAAGGACUUCAGUUUUCCAGGCACUUUCUCAUCAUCUCAUUUAAUCCUGUCUCACAGCUGGAGGUGGGGGCAAUUCAUAUACAUAGAAAGUAGCUUCUAAUUCCAUUUAGUAGUAUAGAAUGCUUAAAAGAACCAUAAUUAUUGCAAGAUAGAAAAAACAAAUUUUUUUUUUUUUUUUUUUUUGAGACGGAGUCUUGCUCUGUCGCCAGGCUGGAGUGCAGUGGUGCGAUCUUGGCUCACUGCAACCUCUGCCUCCCAGGUUCAAGAGAUUCUGCCUCAGCCUCUUGAGUAGCUGGGACUACAGGCGCACGCCACCACACCCAGCUAGUUUUUGUAUUUUUAGUAGAGACGGGGUUUCACCAUGUUGGCCAGGAUGGUCUGGAUCUCUUGACCUCAUGAUCCGCCCACCUCAGCCUCCCAAAGGGCUGGGAUUACAGAUGUGAGCCACCGUGCCUGGCCCACGAUUUGUAAUUUAUAACUUCUUAAUAUAAAAAUCAUUUUUAUCUGAUCUUACGAUCUUUAGUCUUAACCCCCCCCCCUUUUUUUUUGAUACAGGGUCUUGCUCUGUCACUGGUGUGCAGUGGCAGGAUCAUGGCUCACUGCAGCCUUAUCCUCCUCAGGCUCAAGAAAUCCUCCCACCUCAGUCUCCCAAGUAGCUGGGACUAUAGGCAUGUGCCACCACGCCUGGUUAAUUAAAGAAACUUUUUAUUUUUGGAGAGAUGGGGGUCUCCCUAUGUGGCCCAGGCUGGUCUUGAACUCCUGGGCUCAAGUAAUCCUCCUGCCUCAGCCUCCCAGAGUGCUGGGAUUACAGGUGUGAGCCAGCAUGCCUGGCCCUUAUCCUAUUUUUUGAUAUGAAUUCUUAAUUUUCUUUAUUCUUAUUUAAUUUACUAUCCUUGGACAUUUAUAUUUUGACAUAUUUCACUGAAAUGUAAUAUUUUUACUAAUGGCUGUAAUGUCACCUUUUUUUUAAUGUCUCCUUUUUUUUUAAAAUGAGGUGGGUCUUACUCUGUUGCCCAGGCUGGAGUGCAGUGGUGGAAUCACAUCUCACUGCAGCCUUGACUUCCCAGGUUCAGACAAUCUUCCUGAGUAGCUGGGACCACAGGCAUCUGCUACCAUGCACAGCUAAUUUUUAAUUUUUGUACAGACGGGGUCUCCUUGUGUUGCUUAGCCAGGUCUCAAACUCCUGGGCUCAAGGAUCCUCUCUACUAGCUGAGGCUCCUAAAGUGCCGGGAUUAUAGGUGUGAGUCACCAUAUCCUGUAUGUCUCUGUUUUUUAAUUCAUAUUUUCCCCAGUUAAUUUACAGGGACAUUUCAUUUCAACCACUGCCUUAUCUUUUCUAAAACAAAAUCAAGAUCAAGUUCUUACUAAGCAUCCAUUAUCAACAUAUCUCUGGUAGAUACAGCAUGGUUAUUUGUGUGUUGUGAUCUGGAUCUAGAAAUUGGAAAUAAGUUUUUAAAAAGUAAGAUUUGAAUAUUUUGCAUAUGUAGAAGGUGGAAUUUGUAUUUGGGCUAGUGGUUUGUGUAACUACAUUAAAAAUGUGUAUAACAUACCAGACUGUACCUGAAUUAAUUCCCUUUUAAAGCACAAAUGGUUUCUGAUGUCUCAGUUAAUAAUAUCUUAUGGGUGCUUAGUUUGCGUAUUGUCAGGAAGGAUCUGGUAACAACUAGGAUGUGAUUUCUAAGAAGAUGCAUGUAAGGAAGAAAUAAAGUAGAAGAUCUGUCCCAGGAUAUCUUUUAUUUAAAAGUAAGGUAACUGGGACUUUUUUUUUUUUCGAAAGGAUCUUGUUUUAAAAAAACAGUUAUUUUGUAAUUAAUGUCUGGGCUUCCUAUUCUUUCCUAUAAGAAUUAGUCAUAUGAUUUAUAUUUUCAUUUUUCAUUAUCCUUAGUAGUCUUUUAGUAGUUUUGCAAUACAGAAAAUAGAAAUAGAGUUAUCAAAGUGGUAGUAAUGAGUAAGAUUUGGUUACACAUGUCAAAUGCCUGAGACAUUUUAUUUAUUUUUAUUUUUUCUGUCACCGUGGCAGAACAGAAUGCCUGAGGUAUAUAAUAAAAUUCACAAAUGUAUCCUUUUUCCUCCCAGAUAUGUCCAGUUAAGUUUCUGAACAGUAUGUAUUUUAAAAGAGGAACUCUAAAGAGAACUUAAUAUUCACCUAUUUUUUGUAGCCGCUUAUUCAUAAUUAGCAAAUGAAUUCUGAAAUACUUUCAUAAUUAUUGUUCGCUGAUGGAUUUAUUUGCUAUGUUAAGAAAUAGUAUUAGACUUUGGGCAUCUAUACCUUUUAUGUUUAAUGAAUAUUUUAUGUAUCUGGAUAAUUUUUAAAGGUGUCUUUGAAUUUAAAGUUACUAUGGCAGGUGAGAAGUGAAACACUUUAUAAGAAAUGAUUGACAUUUUUCUUUCAUAUGCUUUGUGAGACAUUUAUAUGAAAUAUUUACUUUGAUGUUUAAAAAACACUGAUUGUUUAAAAAUAAUCAAUUUUAAUAAUCAGAAUUGCUUUCAUUCAAAUAAAUUUAUUUGGCCAUGAUAAUCAUUUAGAAUAGUUAAUGUGAAAGUUCACGGUAGACAUAGUUGUUUCUCCUUUGUUUUCUUCAGCUCUAAAAUGCUUAAUUUCAUGAUUUCUCACUUAAAAUAAAGAAGUAAGAAAAAUAAACUUACAGGCUCCUUGGCAAGAGGUUAGAGCCCUACCAGGAAGAAGUAGCCUUAGACUUUCAAAGUAAAGGCUUAGUAUUUGCUCUUCGUGUUCUUUUGGUAGCUAAAGUGGCAUUUCCGUUACUUUGUGUUCUGUCUUAGUAUGUUCCCAGUUAAACUGCUUUAUAUGUUUCUCUAGAGACUCAAAAUUUUGGACUUGACCUUUUAGAAUUUUGUAUGUUCACUGUGUAUAUGAAUCAUUUUGGGCAGUUAGAUAGUUCUUUAAACUCUUAGGUUCUUGAUGAACCUAAGCCUUUGUAUUAAAAAUUAUUUUUAGAGUUUUGAUUUGUCAGAUUAUCAGAAAAUUAAGGAUUUCUCAAGUUAUAUUAUUACCAAGAUAUAUUAUAUCUUGGUAAUAAUAUAGGAUUUCUCAGGUUAUAUUAUUACCAAGAUAUAUUAUAUCCCCCACGAAAGUGGUACAUUUGUUAAAAUUGAUGGACCUACAUUCACACAUCUUUACCACCCAAAGUCCAUAGUUUACAUUAGGGGUUUUUUUUUUUUUGAGACAGAGUUUCGCUCUUGUUGCCCAGGCUGGAGUGCAGUGGUGCAAUCUCAGCUCACUGCACCCUUCGCCUCCUGGGUUCAAGGGAUUCUCCUGCCUCAGCCUCUCAAAUACCUGGGAUUACAGGUGCCCACCACCACGCCCAGCUAAAUUUUUGUAUUUUUGAUAGAGAUGGGGCUUCACCAUGUUGGCCAGGCUGGUCUCGAGCUCCUGACCUCAGGUGAUCCACCCACCUCGGCCUCCCAAAGUGUUGGGAUUACAGGCGUGAGCCACUUCGCCCAGCCAAGGUUUACUCUUGCUGUUUGUAUGUUCUAUGGGUUUGGCCAAUUGUAUGGCAUAUAUCCACUGUUGUAGCGGUACAAUGUUUAUCUGCCCUGAAAUACUCUGUGCUCUCCCUAGCCAUCCCUUGUCUUCCCCAACCACUGGCAACCACUAUUUUUUGUUAACUGUCUCCAUAGUUUUGCCUUUUCACGAAUGUCAUAGUUGGAAUCAUACAGUCUAUAGCCUUUUCAGAUUUUCUUUUUUUCACGUACUAAUAUGCAUUUAUGAUUUCCUCAAUGGCUUUUCAUGGUUUGACAGCUUUUUUUUCUUUUGCACUUGACUAUUCUAUUAUCUGGAUAUACCAGGGUUUAUUUGUCCAUUUACUUAUUGAAGGACAUCUUGGUUGCUCCCUAGUUUUGGCAAUCGUGAAUAAAGCUGCUAUAAACAUCAAACAUCUGUGUGUGUGUCUUUUGUGUGGACAUAAGUUUUCAGUUCGUUUGGGUAAAUAGCAAGGAACACAGUUGCUGGAUCAUAUGGUAAGAGUACCUUUAGUUUUGCAAGAAACCUCCAAACUGUCUUUCAAAGUGAUGGUACCAUUUUAUAUUCCCACCAGUAAUGAAUGGGAGUUUCUGUUCGCAUUCUCACCAGCAUUUGAUAUUGUCACUGUUAUGGGUUUUGGCCAUUCUAAUAGGUGUGUAGUGGUAUUGUUUUAAUUUGCGUUUUCCUGAUUAUGUGACAUCUUUUCAUAUGCAUACUCGCCAUCUUUAUAUCUUGUUUAGUGAGGUGUCCGUUAAGGUCAUUGUCCUGUUCUUAAAGUCAGGUUCUUUGUUUUCUUAUUGUUGAGUUUCGAGAGUUGUAUAUUUUGAAUAACAGUCCUUUAUCAAAUGUAUCUUUUUUUUGAGAUGGAGUCUUGCUCUGUCUCCCGGGCUGGAGUGCAGUGGGGCCAUCUCAUUUGACUGUAAGCUCUGUCUCCCAGGGGCUCAAGCAAUUCCUCUGCCUCAGCCUCCCAAGUAGCUGGGAUUACAGGUGUCUACCAUCAUGCCUGGCUAAUUUUUGUAUUUUUAGUAGAGAUGGGGUUUGACCAUAUUAGCCAGGCUGGUCUUGAACUCCUCAUCUCAGGUGCUCCACCUGCUUCAGCCUCCCAAAGUGUUGGGAUUACAGGCAUGAGCCACCGAGCCCAGCUAUCAAAUGUAUCUUUUGCAAAUAUUUUCUCCUAGUCUGUGCCUUGUCUUUUUCAUUCUCUUGACAAUGCCUUUCACAGAGCAGAAAAUUUUAAUCUUAAUGAAGUCCAGUUUAGCAGUUCUUUCUUUCAUGGGUCAUGCCUUCAUCAUUGUAUUUAAAAAGUCAUCAACAAACUCAAGGUCAUCUAGAUUGUCUUCUGUGUCACCAUCUGGGAGCUUUAUAAUUUUGCAUUUUACAUUUAGGUCUGUGAUCCAUUUUGAGUUAAUUUUUAUGAGUGUAAUGUCUGUCUCCAGAUUCAUUUUUUUUGCCUGUGGAUAUCUAGUUGUGCAGUACUGUUUGUUGAAAAGAUUAUCUUUGCUGCAUUGUGUUGCCUUUCUCCUUUGCUGGCAGUGGUUCUUAAGGUGUGGUCUGGGGACUUCUGGGGGUCCUCAAGACCAUUUCAGCAGGUUUAUGAGUUCAAAACUAUUUUCAUAUACUAAGACAUUAUUUGCCUUUUCUAUUUUUAUUCUUUCACCACUGUACAGUGGAGUUUUCCAGAGGCUAUGUGAUGUGUGAUAUUGCAGCAGAUUGAAUGUAGUAGCAGAUAAUGAUAAUUCAGCUAUUUCCUAUUAAGCCACAAAAUAGAGUUUUGCAAAAAUGUGAAACAGUGCCACUCUUCUAAAUUGUGGGGUUCUUUUUUGAAAAUACUGUUAUUUUUCAAAUGAAUUAAUGUUGAUAAAUUUCUCAGUUUCAGUUUCUAGCAGUAAAUAUUGAUAGAGAACCCCCACAUGAAAGCUCUUGGGUCCUCAGUUUUAAAAGUGUAAAGGUUCUGAGACUAAAAAAAUGCACCUUUAGGGAUGAGUGUGUAUUAGAAGGGACAAAAGAGUACUCAAAGAGGAACUAGAUUUAAGGGAUCCUUUGAAUUCUCAGAGUAACUUUGGAUUUGAUUUUGUAGGUAACAGUGCCCCAACUUUUGGAGGAUUUCAAGCAAGAGAUGUGAUACCAUAAUCCCUAUGUCCACUUUAUGUCCAUAAGUAGGUUGGAGGGAGUGUUCAGUGUGACUUGGAAAGGAAACUGCUGGGGCAAAAAAGUCUUAACAAUAAUAUUUAAAUUUUUUUCCCAAAGGCCAUAAAAAUUAGUUAUUAAUUGGAACUCUUGAUUAUUUGUCCUUUCUCUCUGUUUUUUUUUUUUUUUUUUUUUUUUUUUUAUGUCAAAACUAUCCUUUUUUGUGAAAGCUAGGCAGGUUAGGUAUCAAUUGUGCCAAAAGUUCUUGACUACCAAACCGUUAGCCUUUGCACAUAUGAUUCCUUGGACUAAAGACAGGGUCUUGCUCUGUCACCCAAGCUGGAGUGUAGCGUCAUGAUCAUGGCUUACUGUAACUCUGAACUCUUGGGCUCAAGGGAUUCUCUUGCCUCAGCCUCCUGAGUAGGUAGGACUACAGGUGUGUGCCACCAUGCCCUGCUAAAGAGAAAAAGAUCUCUUGCCUAGGCUGGUCUCGAACUUCUGGCCUUGGCCUCCCAAAGUGCUGGGAUUAUAAGUGUGAGCCACCAUGCUCGGCCUCUUUUAAACUUUCUUUACCUUGCUCCCAUUAAUAUUCACAUUUAAAGUAACUGCUUUCAUAAAAACAUCACUCAAUAACUCCCCCGGUCCUGUCAGUCCAGCAUUAUUCUCACCAUUUAUAAAGUUUCAAAUAUUGUUAAACUGUAGUGGCUAUCUUGCUUUUAUGUAUUUUGGGUUUAUGCACAUUUCGUCCGUAGAAUAGGAAUUGUUUUCUGUAUUGUUCUCUAUCUCUUCUCCAAGUACCUAGUCAACAACCCCCCAUGGGUGCUUAGUAAAUAUUGAAUGAUUAUACCUAACCUCCCUUCAUAGCUCAGACUAUUCCAUGAACAAUUUAUGGACAUAAAAAUCUAUGCCAGUAGACAUUUAAGGAUUCUUUUAUGGUGACUAUGGAAAUUGCCUGGUUACAAAUUUAUAUAUAGAGUCAGUAACAUUCAUAAAAACAUAACAAAUUACUGUUUCAUGGAACUCAUGGGGCAUUAAGAGGUUUAUUUAGUUUUGUUUAGAUACAAGGUAAUGUCUUCCAAAACACUGUUACUUCAAAAUUUUUGUAGCUGCUCCAGUUGAACACUAUAUUAAAAUGCACAUUUUUGAGGACAUUUUCUUGAAAUUAGGAAUGUAAUUUUUAAGAAUUAAACAGAGGACCAGAAAUAGAUCUGAAGAGUUUAUCAGAGCCGCUUCCUUGCACAACUCUAGAAGGUGCCUAUCACACCUUUUUGUAUGAAAGGUGCCUCCUAGAGUGUAACUGUACAGUAGACUCAUUUUUGAUAUAAGAAGGGAUAAAGCACACUUAACAGAUGAUAUCAAAAUGUAAAAGAAAAGAAGUGUCUGUUUUAGAAGGCAGCUGUAUGAGAUAUUAGGCAAAGGUUAGGGUGGUGGUAGUGAUGGUGGUAAAAAUAGGAUCACUUAAUCUAGAUUACUUAAUCAGUAAGUUGAUUCCAGGGGCCAGUGGGAAUUGCUGAAAGUUUCAUCUGAAUACAUGGAAUUUUUAGCAGUGAUUAGGGGAAUGGUGCUGGUAUUUAUAGCCAUAAACUUAUUACUUGAAAGCAUCCUAGGGACCCAAGUCUUAAUCAAGGGGCAGUUCUUCCAAGUAGUGGUUGAGGAAGUUGGGCAUGCUUUCCAAAACUUCUUUCCUCACUAAAGAUUGCAGAUAUACUCUGUAAGUGACUUCGCAGAAUAUACUCAGUUGUCAUAUUUUAAUAUACAUGUUCUGAUUAUAGGUCCCACGUGACUAUAAGCUCUGAGAUCAAGGGUCAUCUUUGAGGGGGUGUGUGUGUGCACUUAAAAUUUUAUGUGCUGGUAAUAGUUAUCUUGUGGAUGUUUAAGAAAUAGAAAUGCGUGCCAUAUUUUAAAUACAUCUUAUAUGCAAAAAUUUUAAUGUAAUUUAAGUAUAUCGCAAAAAGUAAAUAGCGGGUGGUAUUCACACUGCAGAGGAUUGGCAAAUCUUUUUGAUAUACUUCAAACAAUUGCUUGCAGAAAUCCGACUCAUUCACUGUAUUGAAUAAUUUGAAACAUUAGCAUUAACUAAUUCCAAAGCUAAGACAAAGAGAUUUUGAGGUGAGGUGAUAAAUGUAUGCUGUUGUCCUUCAGUAUCUAUAGGGGAUUGGUUCCAGGACCUCCCACAGAUAAGAAAAUCCAAGGGUGCUCAAAUCAUUGAAGAAGUCUUCUUAACAGAAAUAAUGUAAACCUAACUUUGAUCUGAAGGAAGAAAUUUUAUAAAAGAAACCUUUCAGUCUUCAGGGAUUCACAAAGUCUGAUAAAAAUUGGUGUAUUAGUCCAUUCUCAUGCUGCUAUGAAGAAACACCCAAGACUGGGUAAUUUAUAAAGAAAAGAGGUUUAAUUGACUCACAGUUCUGCAUGCCCCAGGGAGGCCUCAGGAAACUUACAAUUAUGGCAGAAAGGGAAGCAAACAUGUCCUUUUUCACAUGAUGGCAGGAGAGAGAAGUGCCCCUUAUAAAACCAUCAGAUCUCAUGAGAACUCACUCACUAUCAUGAGAACAGCAUGGGAGAAACUGUCGCUAUGAUUCAGUUAUCUCCACCUGGUCCUGUCCUUCACGUGGGGAUUGCUACAACUCAAGGUGAGAUUUGGGUGGGGACACAGAGCCAAACCAUAUCAGUUGGUUUAGUUAGGACAUACAAAAUGGGGAGAAUAGCUAACCUUUAAGGAAACCUUUCUAUGUCUUGGGCAAUUGACAUGUGUUAUUAACACAAUGUUUAUACAAACCUAUUCAUCAGAUAGUCUUAUCGGCUCUAUUUUCCAGAGGCUUAAACUAAAACACUAUUAGUAAGAAGACAUAGAGAAUAAAUCUAACAUUUAGAUGGCGAUGAAGAACCUUGACUAGAGGUCAGGCAAUCUGAAGGGGAGCUUCUUAGCUCACAGAAAACUUAUAUAGAAUGAGAUAUAGAUAGGAGAGAGCUUUUCUUUGAGAAAUAUAAUUUAUGUAAAUAUGUAAGAUUACAUUUUGAGAUGUCAACUUUCUAUACUUUUUUUUUUUUCUUUUUGAGGUGGAGUCUCACUCUGUUACGCAGGCUGGAGUGCAGUGUUGCAGUGUCAGCUCACUGCAACCUCUGCCUCCCAGGUUCAAGUGAUUCUCCUGCUUCAGCCUCCCAAGUAGCUGGGACUGUGAGUGCACGCUACCAUGCCCGGCUAUUUUUAGUAGAGAUGGGGUUUCACCAUGCUGGCCAGACUGUUCAGGAACUCCUGACUUCAAGUGAUCUGCCCACCUCCAUCUCCCAAAGUGCUGGGAUUAUAGGAGUGAGCCACCACUUUAUCUUAAGAUAAAUUUUCCAUAUACUUCAAGAGGAGUAAGCUCUAACUGGAAUGUAGGGUACUGACCCUAGCUCCAUAUGACCUCAAAAAAAUCUGUUACUAAAAUAGUUUGUUUUCUAAAUUGCCUUUUUGCUCUGUUAUUCUGUGAUGCUAUAAUUGUGCUCCUUUAGCUUUUUUUGUUAUAGGCUUGGUCCUUUGGAAACGAAUACCAGGAACAGUUUCUCUCUGAGCCUUUGCUUCAUUCUCCACCAGAGUAUUCUGUCCCAUCUACUAGUGUAUCAUUAUUUGAAAAACAGUUUGAAUUUGCAUGUCUUAUUAUCAUUGGUAGGAAUAGGUGGCAUUGUCUUAUGUGAUUCUUGUUUUAGGAGGAAAUGGGCAACAAAAAUGUGAAUUUUCAGCUGGGUGUGUUGGUGCAUCCUUGUAGUCCCAGCUACUCAGGUGGCUGAGGUGGCAGUAUUUCUUGAGGCCAGUAGUUUGAGGCCACCUUGUACAACGUAGCAAGACCGCUAUCACGUAAAAAAUAAUAGUAAUAACAAUAAACUAAUUUUUUUCCAGUGUGUAUCUUGGAUGCCAAAAAAAAAAAAAGGGAGUUUCUUUCUACCUUUAUUAAAAAUUGUCUUGUAUGUGUUGACUGUUGUUCAGAUUACAGGGAUCAGCUGAGGGUGUAUAAGGAGCAUCACUAAUCCAUCACCGUUUAUGUUCUACCACAGUGACAUCAUCUUAAAAUUAUUAAGUGAGGAAUUGAUGGAUAAUUGCUUCACCUUUAUCUCUUAAUUUUAAUUAUUCAGAAACACAGAAAUGUAAACAUUAUUAUUGUUGCCAGGAUCCUUAAUUUAAUUUGCAUGAUGGAAGGACUGUGUUUCUUAAAUUAUAUGAAUGCUGUGUAUAUGUAUUGUAGAAUGGGGAAUUGCAUGUAUCUGUUUAAUAUUAGAACUCUGUAAUAGGUCAAGGCUGCAUCAGUUUUUGUGGCUAUAAUUGCUUGCACAUUUUUGGCUUAUAACCUUUUGUGUACCAGUGACAACCAUUAAGAGCCAGAAAAGUUUGCUUUUACUUGCAGUACAUGUACAUCUAGUUUUGAGUUAUUUGUCAAAAAAGGGUGACCUUUCUUUUUGGCUUUUUUUUUUUUUCUUUUUUGCUUUUUGUGACUUGAAAUUAAGCAACUUACUAAUAUAGUUCUUUUUUUUUUUUUUUUUUUUUUUUUUGAGACAGAGUCUUGCUCUGUCGCCCAGGCUGGAGUGCAGUGGCGCGAUCUCUGCCCACUCCUGGGUUCGAGCAGUUAUCCUGCCUCAGCCUCCUGAGUAGCUGGGAUUAUAGGCUCUCAUCACUAUGCCUGGCUAAUUUUUGUAUUUUGUUUUUAGUAGAGAUGGAGUUUUGCCAUGUUGGCCAGGCUGGUCUUGAACUCCUGACCUCAGGUGAUCCACCCACGUCGACCUCCUAAAGUGCUGGGAUUACAGGCGUGAGCCACCUCACCUGGCCUGAUGUAGUUUAGAAUUAUCUUUAAUUGUGUCCAAUAUGUAGUUUUACCUAGCAAACUAGUUUUAAUUGUUGGUACUUUUUUUUUUAACUUCUCUAAGUUCAUCUACCUUCAGAUUGCAUCUUUGGAAAGGGAGGGGCAGAAUUUUGGAAGGCAGCAGUUCUCUUAGAUGAGUAGAAAAGAGGCCAGGCAUGGUGGCUCAUGCCUGUAACCCCUGCACUUUGGGAGGCCAAGGCAGGUGGAUCACCUGAGGUCAGGAGUUCGAGACCAGCCUGGCCAAUAUGAUGAAACCCCGAGAUUGCGCCACUGCACUCCAGCCUGGGUGACAGAGUGAGACUCUGUCUCAGGGAAAAAAAAAAGAAAAAAUGGAAAAGAAAAGAAAAUGAAUUUCACUAAUUAACAGUUACUGGCUUUAUUUCAGGUGAGCUGUCAUGUGGGAAUUUGUCUGGUUUUGAGAUAUAAGAUCAGUGUGAAGAUUUAUUGAUACAUACAAAAUGGAGUGGGUUGCUCUGCAAUGAAUUUGUGUAUUAAAACUGAAUAUCAAAGAGAAAAUAAGUUAACAGGAUAGUUGCAUUUGAUCUUUUGGUAUGGAACUGGAGUAAAGUUCUAUUUGUGGGUUUUUUUUUGUUUUUGUUUUUUUUGUGACAGUCUUGCUUUGUCACCCAGGCUGCAGUGCAGUGGCACAGUCUCAGCUCACUGCGCUGGGUUCCAGUGAUUCUCAUGCCUCAGCCUCUCGAGUAGUUGGAAUUAUAGGUGUGCACCCAUCAUGCCUGGCUAAUUUUUGUAUUUUUAGUAGAGUUGAUAUUUUGUAUAAAAAUUAUUUAUACAAAAUAAUUUUGUAUUUUGCCAUAUUGGUCAGGCUGGUCUGGAACUCCUAGCCUCAUGUGAUCCACCCGCCUUGGUCUUCCAAAGUGCUGGGAUUACAGGUGUGAGCCACCGCACCCGGCUGAUUUGUUCUUUAUGUGGUCACUUUGCCUCCCAUCUUCAGAAUUGGAAGAUAUACCCACAUUAUCCUUAUUCCCAUUUGUAUAUUUCCUUUUUGAAGUAAAACCAGCUGUUUAAUGGCUGAAAAGUUACAGUUUAGCAGGCGGUAAUUUUUCUUUUCUUUUCUUUUCUUUCUUUUUUUGAGACGGAGUUUCGCUCUUACUCCCCAGGCUGAAGUGCAAUCGUGCUAUCUCGGCUCACCGCAACCUCUGCCUCCCAGGUUCAAGCGAUUCUCCUGCCUCAGCCUCCCAAGUAGCUGAGAUUACAGGCAUGCGCCACCACGCCCGGCUAAUUUUUGUAUUUUUAGUAGAGCUGGGAUUUCACCAUGUUGGCCAGGAUGGUCUCAACCUCCUGAUGUUGUGAUCUGCCCGCCUCAGCCUCCCAAAGUGCUGGGAUUACAGGUGUGAGCCACUGCACCCGGCCUAUUUUUCUUUUCUUAACAUUAGCUUUAGUAAUUUUUUUCACAGAACUAUGUAUUUGUGUAUUUGUUAUCAGGUUUGGAAUUUGUGUUGGCUAUCAAUUUAAUAUAAAGUCUUAGACUUUAUAGACUUAUAAACCCUCAUUUAUUUUUGUUCAUCGUAUUCUUGCAAAAUAUUGUUUUGACUUGGUGACCUAGAGUGGAUCAAGGCACUGUCUUCAAGUGGUUUCUGUAGUAGCCUAUCCUAGAAACACUGCCUGACAUAGCUGAGUGGUAAUGAAAAACAGCCAUAGGUACUAACUUAAAAAUUAGCUGUAGAAUUGCAACUGACAGCUAAGUUAGAAAGCUAUUUAUAGAGCAGCUUGGGAUACUAAGAUACUCCUUGACUGCAUGAAGGUGCAGUGCAAGGAGAGAACCAUUUCUUCCCAUCAGGAGAUUGGAAACCUUUUUUUUUUUUUGAGACGGAGUUUUGGCCUUGUUGCCCAGGUUGGAGUGCAGUGGUGGGAUCUUGGCUCACUGCAACCUCCACCUCCUGAGUUCAAGAGAUUCUCCUGCCUCAGCCUCCCAAGUAGCUGGGAUUACAGGUGCCCGCCACCAUGCCCGGCUAAUUUUUUAUAUUUUUAGUAGAGACGAGGUUUCAUCAUGUUGGCCAGGCUUGUCUCGAACUCCUGACCUCAGGUGAUCUGCCCGCCUCAGCCUCCCAAAGUGCUGUUACUACAAGCGUGAGCCACUGCACCCAGCCGGAAACCUUUUAAGAGAGAAACUUAUUAAUAUAAGUUGCUUCCUGUCCUUGGGCUUAUAGAUGUAAUCUAGAAUUGAUUUUUCUUUGACUUUCUUCUUCAGAGUUACAUUUUCAUAACUUAAUGACUAACCAAGAAUAUGUUACAACUGUUGAGGCCCCUUUUAACAUAGUUUACCCCUUCUGCUAUUACUUAGAAUUGAUAGUAAUUACAUCUCUAGGGCAAAAGAUGACUGGAAAAUUGCUCUGUGUUCUUCUCAUAUAACAUCAUAUAAGACCUGUUCACCUAAAAUCUAGUGAGUUGAUUUAGUUUGUUCUCUGACAUUCUUGGCUUCUUUAAACUUGCUUAUAAAUUAAGGCUUGCAGUUUGAGUCAUUUGGAGAUGGGGAAUGCCCAGAACUUUUGCAACUUGUGAACCUGAGUUGAAUAAUGUGUCGCUUUCCUCAUAGUCUGUCAACUUUAGUUCAUUGUGUGCGCAAAGAAGAUGAUUAUGCCAAUGAGGAUUAUACUAAACCAGACAAGAGGUAGCCUACUGUGUAUACUAGGAAUUAGAUUUGUGAGAACUAAACACAACACUGAAUUGGUGACAAUGUGUUCAGUUUAGAGUAAUUAGAGAAAAUGAUAACAAGUCUCACUCAGACCACAUGGAAAUGGGGGUAGAGUGUGUGUGUGUCGUGUAUGUGUGUCUUCAUUUAUUCCGCUAGUGGAAAGGUUACUGUUUGAAAAAUGUAGUUCCAACACAACCACUAGUUUGUGCUACUUUAGACAAGUAUUUAAAUCUUUGCAAUGGAGAUCUUAUAAUAGAGCAUUCCUUGCCUUGGCACAAGGGUGUUGUUAAAUUGGAAGGCUAAGGAUAUGAACGAAUUUUGUAAUGUAUAAGGAAAUCUUGGCCAAGCACGGUGGCUCAUGCCUGUAAUCCCAACACUUUGGGAGGCCAAAGUGGGAGGAUCACUUGAGGCCAGGAGUUUGAGACCAGCCUGGGCAACAUAGUAAGACCUUGUAUUUACAGAAAAUUUAAAAAUUGGCUGAGUGUGCUGGCAUGUACCUGUAGUCCCAGCUACUCUAGUCUGGGUGACAGAGCAAGACCCUAUCUUUAUUAAGAAAGAAAGAAAUCAUAUGUGCAUUAUAAAGAUUUUGCCACUCUUAAGAUUGAGUGCAAGAAUCUAUGGUAACACUUCCCAGUUGAUGAAGAAAUUGGGCAUUAGAUAAUGAAGGUUUUGCAGCAGUAAUUGAGUUUGAGGUAUUUUCAUAACACUGUAUUGGAAAGGUGACAGAGGAACUGUCUCCUAAAAUGAGGGAAAACAUCAAUACAAAAUGAUGGUAAGAAAGAAAUAAAAGUAUUUGUAAUGGUGCUUUAAAGCUUUUAAAGCUUUAGGGUACUUUUAAAGUACCCUAAAUAUAUCACCUUACUCAGCCAAGAUGUUGUGAAAAUUAAGUAUUAAUCAUAUUUUUUAAAUGUUGAAAUGGAAACCGAGUGACUAAUUAACAUGCCUGAAAUCACAGUGGUGAAUCAUGAAUCUCGAAUUUGAUUCUAGAUUUUUUUGCUCAUUCUGAUGUGUUGCUUAGUCUUGUUAUAGUACAGUUGUAGCACAUGGAAAUGGAUGGGACCAUGCAUGGAAGCCAGAGAGUCUAGAGCAGAACUUCAGUGAUGGCAAAUUAAAAUCUUCAUUAUCAGUAUUUGAAGCAGAGAUUGAAAAUUAAUAGCUCUUAGGACAGACUAUCAAAUAAAUGUGAGCCAGAAGAGUUUUAAUGGGAGAAAUUAACUUUAAUGAAAUAUCUUGUAGAAAGAGCUAAAAACAAGAUACCUGCCAAUCCCAGUCAUUCUGGAGAGUAUCUAAUAUAGCAAUGAAAGUAAAAACUAGUUAACAUUCUCCAGUGUUUGUCAAGUUUAGGAAGAGAUUAACUUGAAAAGUAGUAGUUGGGUAGAAGGUUUAUUCGAAGAUCGUUUGGCAUCAUAGCAAAAAAAAAGUUGGUGAAAGAUGGGUACUGUAGAAUGAUGGGAGAAAGAUGAUUAAAUUUCCCUUCCUACUUGUCUAGACCACUUAAAAUUUAUAUUACUUUCUCACACAAGCCAGGAUAAAGAUACACUCUUUAAGAAAUUUAGGAGACUCUUCAUAUAUCCAUUCAUAGAUAGAAUGUGGUUUUGAAAAUAAAUAGGAUAUUAUCUAAAUAUAGAUCUAUAUAAAAUUUUAUAAUUCCUUUUAAGAAAGACAUUUGUCAGGAAGUGAAAUUGUCAGACUUUUUAAUGCUGAGAAAUAGGUGAAUGUGGUAUAAAGUUAUAUGGAGUCUUUUUUUUUUCUUCAAUUUCAAGACAGGGUCUCACUAUGUUGCCUAGGCUGGAGUUCAGUGGCUAUUCACAGUUGACAUCAUUGCAUACUACAGCCUCAAACACUUGGGCUGAAGUGAUCCACCCACCUCAACCUCCUGAGUGGCUGGGACUACAGGUGCAUACCACUGUACCCUUCUAGGAAUCUUAUAAGAACAGUUGUAUGGUUAUGAGGUGUAUGAGGAUAGAGAUUUUUUUUUUUUUUUUUUUUUUUGAGACGGAGUCUCGCUCUGUCACCCAGGCUGGAGUGCAGUGGCGCUAUCUUGGCUCACUGCAUAGAGAUAUUUUUUGUCCUGGUGACUAUUUCUUCUUGUAGAAUAAUCCUGGUGAUUUUUCCUUCUUGUAGAAACUUAAAGGCUUAAGAUUAAACUUAUUAGGAAAAAUAACUUUGGCUUUAUUUUGUAGUGAUUUAUUAAUGGCUUUAUUUUAUAGUGAUAUAUUAAUAAUGUAUUAAAAUUGCUCAUAUUUUCCACUUAUGGAGUAUUAUUUCAAAAUUUAAAGCCACGUAGAUAGGUUAUUAUUUGGUGCUAUAUCCGCCAUUACUGCAGUUGGUUUCCAGCAGUUUGAAAAAUGAUUUUUCAGAAAUGGCUUUCACUUGUUACUCAGUGGCUUACAGCAACGGUCCCUAACCUUUUUGGCACCAAGGAGUGGUUUUAUGGAAUACAGUUUUUCCACAGACUGGCAGGGGGCGUGUGGAGGGAUGGUUUCGGGAUGAAACUGUUCCACCUCAGAUCAUAGGCAUUAGAUUCUCAUAAGGAGUGCACAGCCUAGAUCCCUUGCAUGUGCAGUUCACAAUAGGGGUCGCGCUUCUAUGAGAAUCUAACGCCCCCGCUGAUCUGACAGGAGGCAGAGCUCAGGCAGUAAUGCUUGCUAGCUCACCAGCCACUGUGUGGCCCAGUUCCUAACAGGUCACGAGCCAGUAAUGGUCCACGGCCUGGGGGUUGGGAACCCCUGGCUUACAGGGUCUUCACAUGCUUACUAACCACAGUUAUGUCACUUAAUCAGGUGUAAUAAAUGGCUGGUGUAAUUUUGACUCAACUUAAAGUGAUCAUAUUGUUUUAAUUGUGAAGCAUGUGAAUAAAUAAAUGAGAUUUCCACUGUCUCUAGUAUUAUAUACUUAAAAGCAGAGGCUUUGCAAAAUUACCAAGGGACGAUCCCGUUUGAUGUGUCUUUGGUUUGGCACGGGUGGAGCAGACAUGUGAGAUAUAGAAUGAAUGGGAGGCCUUCACACUUACUAUGUGGAAGGUGGUAGUUGAUCAUGAUGGUCAGUUCCAUAGGCCUCCAUCCAGGCCACUGGUGACACACUACCACUGUUGCCAUAAUUGUCAAAAGUCAUUUUAUGUGGGGCUUCUUCCUAGCAACCUCCCGCAAACACAUAGCUCCAUCUCUUCGAAGAGCUAAGAAAUUCUUAGCACUUGCCACCAUCUGACAUAUAUUUGUUCGUUUGUUUACUGAUUACAUUCCUCCCGUUAGUAUAUAAGCUCCAUGAUAAUAGAAACUUUGUCCACUAUUGUAUAUUUCUAACUCAUGAAACACUAUUGGCAUAUUAUAGUAUGCAGUUAAUACUAGAAUAAAUGGGAUUUCUGUUUGUUCUUACUGAGGUUUGCAAAACUUUGUGAAAGUGGAAUAUAAAGAUUCUCGUUGUUCUGUGUGCACUGGAGACAUGGAACGGAACUUGUGUUUUCCGAGUGAGGGAGACUCUGGCAGAGAGUUUAACUGCAAUCCAUUAUUCCCUGUGACUGGGCAGAAUUUAAAAAUUUUUAAGAGAAGAGAUGAAAAAUCUUCUGGAUUCCUACUUAAUUUAGACAUGGGUUUGGCUAUUAACGAAAAACUUUAACCUACCUACAGGGAAGGCUUUUUCCCUGUUACCCUUACUUCUCUCUCCUGGAUCUUAUGAGUGGAGAAAUGAGCCUUUGUUUCACUUACAAAUCCACAAAUAUUUAUGCUGUCAUAUGAACACAUGUGUAAGGCUGUGUCACAUGUUGUGGAAGAUACAAAGAGACAGAGGAUUCCUGAGAAUAUAACAAAGUUAAGAAUGAGUGUUAUUGAUUAAAACAAAAAUGGGACAUUUAGGUUAUAGUCGAGACCAUGUUCUUGUUUUUUAAAUGUGAGAUGUUUUUGGACACAGAGGUGAAAAAUUCUAAUGUCUCUAACUCCCCCAGAAGACCUUAGAUUGAUUUUUCUGAGAAGAAAUUUGUGAAUGAUUUGCGUAGAGAUUUUUUUGAGGUUAAGAAAUUAGAUGAGUUUCCCAGGGUGAAGAAAACAGGAGCAGAGAUUAUUGUUAAAAAUGGUCAUGGGUAGAGGGGUUAGAGGGCAAAGUAGGCAGAAUAGAAGCAUGUUUGUGUUUUAAGGAGGCUAAGAACCAGAAUAUAGCACUCAAAAAAGGAAAAUGCAAAUGCACUGUGAAUAGCUGCUACUGGUAGUGUAUUAAUUUCUUAGCUACAUGUAAACUUUUAUUAGGGUGCUUAUAACUAAGGUGAUGUGUAAUAUGUCAUCCAAACUUGGGUCACUUUUAAGAGUGAAAGGGUGUGCUAUCCGAAUGGGACACUGGACAACAGGUGUAUGAACCUUGACUGUUCCAGCAAAACCAGGACGGUUGGUCAUUCCUAACUAAUAACGUGCUUUUCUCCAGACUUAGUCUCAAUUCCUUUAACCUCUCCAGAAUUAUCUAUAAAUAAUUAUAGAUAUUAUACUAUAAAUGUUUUCUCCUUUGUAGUACUCUGAUCUGCACUUGCAGAGCCUCUCAAUUGUUGGUUUCUUUUUCCCUGUCCUGUUGGAAAGAAAGGAGAAUUUUUCUGCCCCCACCCUGGACCCUGCUUGGGUUCACAGCAUUGGUGGAGGUGGGGUUGUCAUUAUGAAACUUAAGAUCUUCAAAGAAGAGAAUGUAAUUUAUACCAUGGAUAUGUUAUUUUUUCAUGUUGGAGCACUGUAAUACUUUUGUUUUCUUAUUCAGUUUAAAUAAAAUUUUUAAUUCUUAUA
Long non-coding RNA from Symphalangus syndactylus (siamang), 20876 nucleotides. RefSeq lists it as uncharacterized. NCBI's taxonomy places the organism in Eukaryota, Metazoa, Chordata, Mammalia, Primates, Hylobatidae. The record is from RefSeq and is a predicted model, not a curated record.